RNAcentral lists this ribosomal RNA (769 nucleotides) under Streptomyces cacaoi. Its description in RNAcentral is "bacterial SSU rRNA". It matches the Rfam family "Bacterial small subunit ribosomal RNA", at positions 107 to 887 of the family's 1533-position model. Lineage: Bacteria; Bacillati; Actinomycetota; Actinomycetes; Kitasatosporales; Streptomycetaceae. The record is from RNAcentral.
UGAGUAACACGUGGGCAAUCUGCCCUGCACUCUGGGACAAGCCCUGGAAACGGGGUCUAAUACCGGAUAUGACCACCGGCCGCAUGGUCUGGUGGUGGAAAGCUCCGGCGGUGCAGGAUGAGCCCGCGGCCUAUCAGCUUGUUGGUGGGGUGAUGGCCUACCAAGGCGACGACGGGUAGCCGGCCUGAGAGGGCGACCGGCCACACUGGGACUGAGACACGGCCCAGACUCCUACGGGAGGCAGCAGUGGGGAAUAUUGCACAAUGGGCGCAAGCCUGAUGCAGCGACGCCGCGUGAGGGAUGACGGCCUUCGGGUUGUAAACCUCUUUCAGCAGGGAAGAAGCGCGAGUGACGGUACCUGCAGAAGAAGCACCGGCUAACUACGUGCCAGCAGCCGCGGUAAUACGUAGGGUGCGAGCGUUGUCCGGAAUUAUUGGGCGUAAAGAGCUCGUAGGCGGCCUGUCGCGUCGGAUGUGAAAGCCCGGGGCUUAACCCCGGGUCUGCAUUCGAUACGGGCAGGCUAGAGUUCGGCAGGGGAGAUUGGAAUUCCUGGUGUAGCGGUGAAAUGCGCAGAUAUCAGGAGGAACACCGGUGGCGAAGGCGGAUCUCUGGGCCGAUACUGACGCUGAGGAGCGAAAGCGUGGGGAGCGAACAGGAUUAGAUACCCUGGUAGUCCACGCCGUAAACGUUGGGCACUAGGUGUGGGCGGCAUUCCACGUCGUCCGUGCCGCAGCUAACGCAUUAAGUGCCCCGCCUGGGGAGUACGGCC